RNAcentral lists this long non-coding RNA (510 nucleotides) under Gossypium raimondii (Peruvian cotton). RNAcentral describes it as "long non-coding RNA (GRAI_LNC009084)". Lineage: Eukaryota; Viridiplantae; Streptophyta; Magnoliopsida; Malvales; Malvaceae. The record is from RNAcentral.
ACGACAUUCCCUGGCCCCAUAUAUAUGGGACAACCCCAUCCGAAAUCUGCCUCAUAUAUAGGCAACCAGUUCCAUGGAACAACAACAAGGUUUGGGCAUCGAAAAGUAUGCGGUCCUCUAACCAAGGUGUUUAAAUCAGGCACUUUUUCAAUGUAAUCAAUAGCUGAUCUUAAAUAUUCAUCAUUUAUCUGAUUUAAUCGUUCAUGGAUCCUCUUUAUGGUGUCAGUAAAUGAUUCGGUUUCGAGAUCACCAGCUUGAGCAAUUAGUGCAGUCGUAAAGAUUACAUUGCCGAAGUAGCCUGGUGGGAGCGGAGGAUCCAAUCUAUAUCGACCGUCAACUGGAAAAUACAGCUUGGUAUCUUGAUCAGCUGGAAGACCCCUUGCUUUACUUACACAGCGCCAUAUAUGUGCAGCCAAGAUGUUGAAGCUGCUAUAUUUUACACCACCGUUUGCAUUUGCAACUUUUGCUUUGGCUUUCAGGGUAUUCAAUUGAUCAGCUGUGAGCUCUAAG